GACGAACGCUGGCGGCGUGCUUAACACAUGCAAGUCGAACGGAAAGGCCCUGCUUUCGUGGUAUGCUCGUGUCGCGCACGGGUGUGUAACACGUGUGUUCCGUGCUCCUCAUUUUGGGAUGCCUUCAGGAAUCUGGCUCAUAUCCGGGAUGAGAGCUCCUUCUGCAUGGUGGUGGUUGGAUAGUUUCGGCGGUUGGGGAUGGACUCGCGGCUUACUAGCUUGUUGGUGGGGUAGUGGCUUACCAAGGCUUUGACGGGUAGCCGGCGUGAGAGGGUGACCGGCCACAUUGGGACUGAAAUACGGCCCAGACUCCUACGGGAGGCAGCAGUGGGGAAUAUGGCACAAGGGGCGGAGGCCGGAUGCAGCAACGCCGCGGGCGGGAUGACGGCCUUCGGGUGGUAAACCGCUUCCGCCUGGGACGAAGCGUGUGUGACGGUAAUGAGUAAAGAAGCACCGGCUAACUACGUG
Molecule: ribosomal RNA, 468 nt
Filed under: uncultured bacterium
Lineage: Bacteria
Description: partial 16S ribosomal RNA
Rfam family: Bacterial small subunit ribosomal RNA
Source: RNAcentral